GCUGGCGACCGGCGCACGGGUGAGUAACACGUAUCCAACCUGCCGAUGACUCGGGGAUAGCCUUUCGAAAGAAAGAUUAAUACCCGAUGGCAUAGUUCUUCCGCAUGGUAGAACUAUUAAAGAAUUUCGGUCAUCGAUGGGGAUGCGUUCCAUUAGGUUGUUGGCGGGGUAACGGCCCACCAAGCCUUCGAUGGAUAGGGGUUCUGAGAGGAAGGUCCCCCACAUUGGAACUGAGACACGGUCCAA
This 246-nucleotide ribosomal RNA is filed under the name uncultured bacterium. Its description in RNAcentral is "partial 16S ribosomal RNA". It matches the Rfam family "Bacterial small subunit ribosomal RNA", at positions 87 to 334 of the family's 1533-position model. The record is from RNAcentral.